Molecule: ribosomal RNA, 464 nt
Filed under: uncultured Methanomicrobiales archaeon
Lineage: Archaea; Methanobacteriati; Methanobacteriota; Methanomicrobia; Methanomicrobiales
Description: bacterial SSU rRNA
Rfam family: Archaeal small subunit ribosomal RNA
Source: RNAcentral
AGCACCACAACGGGUGGAGCCUGCGGUUUAAUUGGACUCAACGCCGGGAAACUCACCAGAUAAGACAGCUGAAUGAUAGUCGGGCUGAAGACUCUACUUGACUAGCUGAGAGGAGGUGCAUGGCCGUCGUCAGUUCGUACUGUGAAGCAUCCUGUUAAGUCAGGCAACGAGCGAGACCCACGCCAACAGUUGCCAGCUCGUCCUCCGGGAUGGUGGGGACACUGUUGGGACCGCCUCUGCUAAAGAGGAGGAAGGAAUGGGCAACGGUAGGUCAGCAUGCCCCGAAUUAUCUGGGCUACACGCGGGCUACAAUGGGUGGGACAAUGGGUAUCGACACCGAAAGGUGAAGGCAAUCUCCUAAACCCAUCCGUAGUUCGGAUUGUGGGCUGCAACUCGCCCACAUGAAGCUGGAAUCUGUAGUAAUCGUGUCUCAAAAUGGCACGGUGAAUAUGUCCCUGCUCCUU